Lynx canadensis (Canada lynx) is the source of this 3296-nucleotide long non-coding RNA. RefSeq lists it as uncharacterized. NCBI's taxonomy places the organism in Eukaryota, Metazoa, Chordata, Mammalia, Carnivora, Felidae. The transcript has 4 exons. The record is from RefSeq and is a predicted model, not a curated record.
GUGCCCACGUUUUUCUCCUUCCCGGAUGCUUAGUAUCCCAUCGUUUCCGAGAGGUCCCUCCGCGCCUCGGGAGGCCCACUGGCCAGGCGCGCCCGGCGCUGCAUCUGUGACAAUCCCGGCUGGGGAUGGAUGCGCGCGGUAGCAGGUCGGCGCUGUAUCUAUAUGGAGCGACCCAGAAAAGCAUUAUCAUAACGUGUCCUCGUUAGUAUAGUGAUAUUUAUCAAGCACCUAUUAGGUGCCAGGCACUGUUCUAGACCUUGAAGGAUACGGAGGUGACCAAGGCACGUGACUUCCCUGCCCUCAGGGGUCUGUCAUUAGCGCUGGGGAGACAGAGAAUGGACAAGGAAAAACAAUACCUACCCUAACAGUAAACGGUAAGGGGCUGGGGUCAGGUUGGGAGGCGUGAUCCGGGAGGGCUUCUCGGAGGCGGUGACCUUGAAGGACAAGAAGGAGUAGAUGCCGGCGAGCCUGGUCGACGUGGGUUCCAGCUGGUUCUGGACUUUCCGCAUCGGAUGUCCAGGGCGGAGGACCCAGGGCCGGCACCACGACCAGGAGGAUCUGAGCGAAGCGGCAUUUCACUAGCAGCCGAAAUAGCUCAGUUGGGAGAGCGUUAGACUGAAGAUCUAAAGGUCCCUGGUUCGAUCCCGGGUUUCGGCAGUCGCUUUAUCUUUUUUUUUUUUUCCCCGCCGCGAAAGGCGGUUGGAAAAAACCGGAACAGGGAGGCUAAUUCUCCGCGAUUAAUAAACAGUUUCGCUUUCUUUAAACCCGGCUCCGAGCGGUAUCCACGGGAAAUGGGAGCGGAGGGAAACUUCCGCGCAAUGUGGAGAAUUCUAACGCGGCUGUGUUUCCCCUGCCUCCAUUUCUCGCCUCUCGGAAACGUUUAUUAAUGUCUGUCACGUGUUUGUUGAUGUCUGCUCGUUAAUUUGGGCUUUCUGUGUAUGAAUUUCUGUUCCCCGAAACCCGCGCAACUAAAUCAAGGACCGAGCAGGGGACAGCUUCCCUAAGAUGGAGUUAAGUCAAGCAGGACUUUUGUUCUUCGGUUUUGAACAGAAAGAAUAAAAGAAAAUAUUGAACCCUUUGAUAUACAGUGAUACACAGGGGAACUUGAAAAUGCUUAAAAGGCGUACCUGAGAGCCCUGAUCAGAGCCGGUCCUCGUUAGUAUAGUGAUUCUCCCACUUUCACGGAAACUCUUUUCUACGAACGGCUAAACCUGACCGGCGUGCGAGAUUCGUUGUAGAUUCUAUCGACUGCCUGGUCAAAAUCAUGCCCCGGGUCCCCAGUGUCCCACAGUUACACGAAAGAAAGAGCCCAAGGUCUCCCACCCCCACCCCACCCCCCUCGCUCAUGCUCCCAGCGCUGCACGAAAGUGCUGGGUUUGCGCCAUGCUGUCCCGGGACAAGAGGGUCAACCUCCAAGGCCAGGAAAUGCUCCUUCUGCUGCAAAUAUUCCAAUCUCUGUGGCUUGCUCCGGACCAGACUGGCCCUCGGAAAAUGUUUAUGGAUUUAAGACAGGAAGUGUGGGGACGCUACCGUGAAACGCUUUCUUGUCUUAACGUGGUUGCAGACUCCUUCCCGGGUGGCUAUCAGCCUUCCCAGGCUCCUCUUCUUCCAUUCGUUUUUUUGUCACAUUCAUUCUGCAGAUAUACACUGAGUACUUAUUAGGGGCCAGGCACUGUUCUAGGCACUGGGGCUAUAGCAGGAACCACGAGGCCCUGGCCCCUGCCCUACUGAGCUUAUGACACCGGUGAUAAACAAAUAGUAUUAAAAAAAAAAAAAAAAGUCUCCCAGAGAGUAAAUGCUGUGAAAGAGAAAAAAAAAAGGGGGGGGGGGGAGGGCACGCCAGGGAGUGUGUGGGAUUCGCAGGCCCCAAUAGUGAGGCAGCCAGGAAGGCCCCUCCGAGGACCUGGACAAGGAGAAGGAGCCACUCACCAGAAGAUCUGGGGAGCACCCUUGCAGGCAGAGGGAAGGGCAGGUGCAAAGGCCCUGAGGUGCAAAGGAGGGCAGCGUGCCUGCAGAACAGCAAGGAGGUAAGUGUGCAUGUAAGAGGGGGAGAGGAGGAAGGGAUAAGGUCACAGGCGAACCUAAGGAGGUUGGAUUCCAUUCCAGGGUUUUGUGCAGAGAGGCAACAUAAUCGGGCUUGUUUUGAGCAGAGCAGUCUGGCAAGAGAGCAAGCAGGGGCACCUGCUAAAAACCCAGCUUGUUCCCAAACUUCGUGCAAAAUAACGCCGCGAACAGUGCCAUCCGUCCAUGCUGGGCCAAGGUCUGUCUGUCUUCGCCAGAGCUCAUAUAAUAAUAACUGCAUUUGCCAUCCUGAGAACCCAGGCUCGGCUGGCCCUUGUACCAGGCGCUGUUCUAAUGGCUCAAUGGCCGCACCCGCCCUGGGGAGGAGGUAGUACUCAGAUCUCCAUUUUAUGAAUGAGCUCCAGACAGGUGGGGAUAUGAAUCACAACUGCCCGGCAGGUGUCCUGGGCACCAGCUCAGGUAGCCCUUUACCUGUGAAGGUUUCAGGCGGGUUGGAAGGGAGCUGACUGGGGACAAAGCGGACAAGGCAGGACAACUGGGGGUGUGUUCUCCCCAUCAGAGUGACUGUUUCCUGCCAGGAAAUCUCAAGCGCUGGUGGAAAGAGGCAGAGACUCAACUUUCUGCCCUCUCCCUGCCCUCAACCAUUCCUCCACCACUGAGCGACCCCUUGGUGACUGGAAGACACCUCGUAUUGCCUCCCUAGGGCAGCUUCAUAAGCACUCUGCACUCUGGAAGAGACGGGUGCCGACAGUGAGAAAUGGUUCUUUUCGGUGGGAUUUUCACAAUAGGCAGGAUCCCCCCUCUCUGAAACCUGUAACACUCCCGAUACGCUUUUGUUGCAAGAGGCUGAGGGCAGCUGCUGGCAGAAAAGCGUAAAGGCAAAAACAUCACCUGAUGACUGAAACAGCCCGAGAAGGAGCAACGGGGGAGGCCACGGUCCUUUUCGUGGCACCGUGACUGCAGUAGAAGUCCCCAAGGACUGGCGACUGAUGCCCCGCCAUCAGAGGGCAAGUGUGGAAGCCAUUCAAAGGUCUGACUGCUGGCCCUUGCCCUUUAUUUGUGCUGUCAGUAACCAACCAGUUUGGGAAUGACCCGAAGGGAAACCAGCAUUCCUGGCAGGCAGGAUUUUGCCUCCCGCUUCAUCAGCAACAGGUCACGAACGAACGAACGAACAAAUGAAUGAAUGAAUGACACUGAUGCACAUACGGUUCAUGUUUAUAUUUAUACACGAUCUGUAUUUUAUCAUUAAAGAUCGAAGAUGCAUUUUAUAGAAA